This 253-nucleotide ribosomal RNA is filed under the name uncultured bacterium. RNAcentral's name for it is "partial 16S ribosomal RNA". It matches the Rfam family "Bacterial small subunit ribosomal RNA", at positions 524 to 776 of the family's 1533-position model. The record is from RNAcentral.
UACAGAGGUCCCAAGCGUUGUUCGGAUUCAUUGGGCGUAAAGGGUGCGUGGGCGGCGCGGUAAGUCGGGUGUGAAAUCUCGGAGCUUAACUCCGAAACUGCAUUCGAUACUGCCGUGCUUGAGGACUGGAGAGGAGACUGGAAUUUACGGUGUAGCGGUGAAAUGCGUAGAUAUCGUAAGGAAGACCAGUGGCGAAGGCGGGUCUCUGGACAGUUCCUGACACUGAGACACGAAGGCCAGGGGAGCAAACGGG